UACACAAUCGAAAAUGUUAAACCUGCUUACACAAAUUGGCAUCCAUCAGAACCUAAUAACAAAGGUAAUGAAAAUUGCGUUAAUUAUUGGUAUUCAAAUGGACUAUGGAAUGACAUUUCAUGCAGUAACGCACACCAUUUCAUCUGUCAACGUGGAAGAAGUGACAUAAACUGACGAACACGAGGAAAAAGUUAAGAAACUGAGAGAAGCUGGACAAGAGUCAUUUGCUCUAAUAGUUGAAGAAUACAAGGCAUUAUCGACAACAGCUGUAUCACAGGAACGCGAGAGAAAUGAGAAACAUUUACAUAAAAUACU
Molecule: long non-coding RNA, 315 nt
Organism: Xenia sp. Carnegie-2017
Lineage: Eukaryota; Metazoa; Cnidaria; Anthozoa; Malacalcyonacea; Xeniidae
Exons: 3
Source: RefSeq, a predicted model, not a curated record